UUGCUUCUCUUGAGAGCGGCGGACGGGUGAGUAAUGCCUAGGAAUCUGCCUGGUAGUGGGGGAUAACGUCCGGAAACGGACGCUAAUACCGCAUACGUCCUACGGGAGAAAGCAGGGGACCUUCGGGCCUUGCGCUAUCAGAUGAGCCUAGGUCGGAUUAGCUAGUUGGUGGGGUAAUGGCUCACCAAGGCGACGAUCCGUAACUGGUCUGAGAGGAUGAUCAGUCACACUGGAACUGAGACACGGUCCAGACUCCUACGGGAGGCAGCAGUGGGGAAUAUUGGACAAUGGGCGAAAGCCUGAUCCAGCCAUGCCGCGUGUGUGAAGAAGGUCUUCGGAUUGUAAAGCACUUUAAGUUGGGAGGAAGGGCAGUAAAUUAAUACUUUGCUGUUUUGACGUUACCGACAGAAUAAGCACCGGCUAACUCUGUGCCAGCAGCCGCGGUAAUACAGAGGGUGCAAGCGUUAAUCGGAAUUACUGGGCGUAAAGCGCGCGUAGGUGGUUCGUUAAGUUGGAUGUGAAAUCCCCGGGCUCAACCUGGGAACUGCAUUCAAAACUGACGAGCUAGAGUAUGGUAGAGGGUGGUGGAAUUUCCUGUGUAGCGGUGAAAUGCGUAGAUAUAGGAAGGAACACCAGUGGCGAAAGCGACCACCUGGACUGAUACUGACACUG
Molecule: ribosomal RNA, 672 nt
Filed under: uncultured bacterium
Lineage: Bacteria
Description: bacterial SSU rRNA
Rfam family: Bacterial small subunit ribosomal RNA
Source: RNAcentral